UCUUCCCUCUUGCUUCGUGCCUAAUACAUGCAAGUCGAGCGAACAGACGAGGAGCUUGCUCCUCUGACGUUAGCGGCGGACGGGUGAGUAACACGUGGAUAACCUACCUAUAAGACUGGGAUAACUUCGGGAAACCGGAGCUAAUACCGGAUAAUAUAUUGAACCGCAUGGUUCAAUAGUGAAAGACGGUUUUGCUGUCACUUAUAGAUGGAUCCGCGCCGCAUUAGCUAGUUGGUAAGGUAACGGCUUACCAAGGCAACGAUGCGUAGCCGACCUGAGAGGGUGAUCGGCCACACUGGAACUGAGACACGGUCCAGACUCCUACGGGAGGCAGCAGUAGGGAAUCUUCCGCAAUGGGCGAAAGCUUGACGGAGCAACGCCGCGUGAGUGAUGAAGGUCUUCGGAUCGUAAAACUCUGUUAUUAGGGAAGAACAAAUGUGUAAGUAACUAUGCACGUCUUGACGGUACCUAAUCAGAAAGCCACGGCUAACUACGUG
Molecule: ribosomal RNA, 497 nt
Filed under: uncultured bacterium
Lineage: Bacteria
Description: partial 16S ribosomal RNA
Rfam family: Bacterial small subunit ribosomal RNA
Source: RNAcentral